GCCGAUGACCAGCCGAGUCCGUGCAGUCAGGAGGCACGGAGCCGGGGAACCAUCGACCUUCACGCGAAGGUCCGGGGUGAAUCGGCGCAUCGCGCGCCGUAGGGCGACUUCCCCGCCCGAACCCGUCAGCUAACCCGGUAGGCGUGAGCGGAAGA
This 155-nucleotide small RNA is filed under the name Microbispora rosea. RNAcentral's name for it is "c-di-AMP sequence". It matches the Rfam family "c-di-AMP riboswitch aptamer (ydaO/yuaA leader)". Rfam says of the family: This family represents a conserved RNA structure found upstream of the ydaO and yuaA genes in Bacillus subtilis and related genes in other bacteria. The ydaO/yuaA element is thought to act as a genetic "off" switch for the ydaO and yuaA genes in its native state. It is believed that the element may be triggered during osmotic shock leading to activation of ydaO, a predicted amino acid transporter gene, and members of the yuaA-yubG operon which code for KtrA and KtrB K+ transporters. The record is from RNAcentral. Lineage: Bacteria; Bacillati; Actinomycetota; Actinomycetes; Streptosporangiales; Streptosporangiaceae.